This is a long non-coding RNA of Cynoglossus semilaevis (tongue sole), 359 nucleotides long. RefSeq lists it as uncharacterized. The transcript has 2 exons. The record is from RefSeq and is a predicted model, not a curated record. Lineage: Eukaryota; Metazoa; Chordata; Actinopteri; Pleuronectiformes; Cynoglossidae.
AAGAGGGGAGGGAGGAAGGUUGUUUAUGUGGAGCUAGGAGGCAAUUGCUGCUUUCUGCACUGCACAGGAUCUGAAAACAUUUGUUUACGCCAGUGAACAUCAAAGUCGUGUUCAGAUAACGAAAAAACAAUCAACAGUAACCAAUGAACCAUGGCUGGUGGGCAGGAAUCCUCACACAAGAACAAAACCGCUGGACAUGUGCAGUGCAGCUAGCCUCAAAAACUCUGGAGCAGUGCCUGUGUUUUCAGUUCACCAGCUCAAACAGCUACAGGUUCUCCACUAACAAUUGGUCACAAGCAUAUGAAAGAAUUAAAUCAAAGACUGCAGUUAACAUCUAAACAGGAGCAAGGAAGACACAA